Molecule: ribosomal RNA, 321 nt
Filed under: uncultured Synergistaceae bacterium
Lineage: Bacteria; Thermotogati; Synergistota; Synergistia; Synergistales; Synergistaceae
Description: bacterial SSU rRNA
Rfam family: Bacterial small subunit ribosomal RNA
Source: RNAcentral
UCGUGUCGUGAGAUGUUGGGUUAAGUCCCGCAACGAGCGCACCCACUUGCCAGUUGCUAACAGGAGAGCUGAGCACUCUGGCGAGACUGCCGCCGACAAGGCGGAGGAAGGUGGGGAUGACGUCAAGUCAUCAUGGCCUUUAUGCCCAGGGCUACACACGUGCUACAAUGGCCGGCACAGACGGCAGCUUAGUGGCGACACUUGGCAAAUCCUCUAAAGCCGGUCCCAGUUCGGAUUGCAGUCUGCAACUCGACUGCAUGAAGCCGGAAUCGCUAGUAAUCGCAGAUCAGCCAAGCUGCGGUGAAUACGUUCCCGGGCCUU